Molecule: long non-coding RNA, 175 nt
Organism: Oxyura jamaicensis (ruddy duck)
Lineage: Eukaryota; Metazoa; Chordata; Aves; Anseriformes; Anatidae
Exons: 3
Source: RefSeq, a predicted model, not a curated record
CUGCAUUGUGGAGAAGCUCCCUUGCCGGCUGCAGCAUUGCAUUUUACCCGUAAUUCUGCGUGCGAAGAUCCAAACGAAGACGACGGAGUCGUAAGUAUUUAAGGUGUAUACCGUUCGGUUGGGUGGGAUUCGGUUGCCUCUGUGUGUAAGAGUGUGAGUGAGACGGAACCUAGUU